Molecule: ribosomal RNA, 835 nt
Filed under: uncultured bacterium
Lineage: Bacteria
Description: bacterial SSU rRNA
Rfam family: Bacterial small subunit ribosomal RNA
Source: RNAcentral
GAGUUUGAUCAUGGCUCUGAUUGAACGCUGGCGGCAGGCCUAACACAUGCAAGUCGAGCGGCAGCACGGGGAGCUUGCUCCCUGGUGGCGAGCGGCGGACGGGUGAGUAAUGCAUGGGAAUCUGCCCGGUAGUGGGGGAUAACUCGGGGAAACCCGAGCUAAUACCGCAUACGUCCUAUGGGAGAAAGCAGGGGAUCUUCGGACCUUGCGCUAUCGGAUGAGCCCAUGUCGGAUUAGCUUGUUGGUGAGGUAACGGCUCACCAAGGCUGCGAUCCGUAGCUGGUCUGAGAGGAUGAUCAGCCACAUCGGGACUGAGACACGGCCCGGACUCCUACGGGAGGCAGCAGUGGGGAAUAUUGGACAAUGGGGGAAACCCUGAUCCAGCCAUGCCGCGUGUGUGAAGAAGGCUUUCGGGUUGUAAAGCACUUUCAGCGGGGAAGAAGGCAUGGCGGCUAAUACCCGCCAUGAAGGACAUCACCCGCAGAAGAAGCACCGGCUAACUCCGUGCCAGCAGCCGCGGUAAUACGGAGGGUGCAAGCGUUAAUCGGAAUUACUGGGCGUAAAGGGCGCGUAGGCGGCCUGCCAAGCCGGAUGUGAAAGCCCCGGGCUCAACCCGGGAACGGCAUUCGGAACUGGCAGGCUAGAGUGCAGGAGAGGAAGGUGGAAUUCCCGGUGUAGCGGUGAAAUGCGUAGAGAUCGGGAGGAAUACCAGUGGCGAAGGCGGCCUUCUGGACUGACACUGACGCUGAGGCGCGAAAGCGUGGGUAGCAAACAGGAUUAGAUACCCUGGUAGUCCACGCCGUAAACGAUGUCGACCAGCCGUUGGACCCCUUGA